GGCAACCCGCUCGGGUCCCCUUCCACAAUGUGGAAGCUUUGUUCUUUUGCUCUUUGCAAUAAAUCUUGCUGCUGCUCACUCUUAGGGUCCACACUACCUUUAUGAGCUGUAACACUCACCGUGAAGGUCUGCAGCUUCACUCCUGAAGCCAGCGAGACCACGAACCCACCGGGAGGAACGAACAACUCCAGAUGCGCCGCCUUAAGAGCUGUAAUACUCACCACGAAGGUCUGCACCUUCACUGCUGAGCAAGCGAGACCACGAACCCACCAGAAGAAAGAAACUCCUAACACAUCCGAACAUCAGAAGGAAGAAACUCCAGACGUGCCAUCUUAAGAGCUGUAACACUCACCGUGAAGGUCUGCAGCUUCAUUGUUGAAGUCAGUGAGACCAAGAACCCACCAAUUCCGGACACAGAAGGACGAGGAAUGAAGGGUGUUCCGCUGGAGAGUGAAGGAAGCCAUCCUUGAGGAGUCAAGAUAAACUUCGGAUGUAAGCUGAACGGUCACUGGGUCACAGAAUUCCACCGGGAACGGGAAGAGCCUCUGGAGCAGCGCCCACAGUCCUGCCUUCUGUGCUUGGGAGUUUUCAAAGUGAGUUCUGGGAAAUGUUAGGCCAUGUAUAAAAGAAGAGGUGGUCUUAAGAAAGGCCAUGGUACCCGUGGCUGGAGGUCCUGGACACAGCCUCUCCCUCAUCUCAUCCAUGGAGAAAGUUCCCUAUAUUAGUUUGUUCUCACAUUGCUAUAAAGAACUACCCAAGCCUGGGUAAUUUAUAAAGAAAAGAGGUGUAAUUGACUCACAGCUGUGCAGGCUGUACAGGAAGCCUGGCUGGGGAGGCCUGAGGAAAUUUUCAAUCAUGGCAGAAGGUGAAGUGGAAACAAGCACAUCUUCCAUGGCUGGAGAAGGAGGGAGAGAGCGAAGGGUAAGGCACCACAUGCUUUUGAACGGCCAAGUCUUGUGAGAACUCACUCACGAUCAUGAGAACAGCCAGGAGGAAUUCUACCCCCAUGAUCAAAUCACUUACCACCAGGUCCCUCCCCCAACACUGGGGAUUAAAAUUUGACAUGAGAUUUGGUCAAGGACACAAAUCCAAACUCUGUCAUUCACCAACAUGUUAUGGCACCUACCGCUCCUUGCCUCAAUGCUCGUUUUCAGCUAGCUUCAGUUGCCAGUUUCUGGUGCUUCUUAAAUGGGUUUCUUAAAUGGUUUUCGGAGGUUAUGUAAAAAUGUGUCACCGAAAUUUGUGUGUAUGCGUGUGUGUGUGUCUGCACACAUGCACAUGAUCUCCUGGGGGAGAGAUUCAAACAUUUUCAUCAUGUUUUCAAAAGAUGCUGGGAUCCACGGAAGGUUAAUAAUUACUUCUUCUUGUGUCCUUGUUCAGCAUGGGUUCUUUCAGUGAAAUUAGGUGAAUACAUCAUAUAGCCUGACAAUGUGAAUAUAGAUUGUGCUAUAAUUUAAGUGUUUCUUCCAAGAAGCAAGUGUUGAAAGCUUAAUCGUUAAGACAACAGUGUUGGGAGGUGGGGCCUGAUGAGGUUGAUGCCAUCAUGAUGGGAGUGAGUGAGUUACUGUGAGAGCAGGCUCCUGAUAACAGGAUGAGUAUGGCCCCCUUCCACUGCUCUCUCACACACACACUCUUGCCCUUCUGCCUUUCAUCAUGUUAUGAUGUGGGAAGAAGGCCCUCGCCAGAUGCCAGCCUCUUGAUCUUGGAUUUCCCAGCCUCCAGAACUGUAAGCCAAUAAAUUUCUGUUCAUUAUAAA
RNAcentral lists this long non-coding RNA (1756 nucleotides) under Homo sapiens (human). RNAcentral's name for it is "uncharacterized LOC105377796, transcript variant 2 (LOC105377796)". Lineage: Eukaryota; Metazoa; Chordata; Mammalia; Primates; Hominidae. The record is from RNAcentral.